Molecule: ribosomal RNA, 168 nt
Filed under: uncultured bacterium
Lineage: Bacteria
Description: partial 16S ribosomal RNA
Rfam family: Bacterial small subunit ribosomal RNA
Source: RNAcentral
CCUACGGGAGGCAGCAGUGGGGAAUAUUGGACAAUGGGCGCAGCCUGAUCAGCCAUGCCGCGUGAGUGAUGAAGGCCUUAGGGUUGUAAAGCUCUUUCACCGGAGAAGAUAAUGACGGUAUCCGGAGAAGAAGCCCCGGCUAACUUCGUGCCAGCAGCCGCGGUAAUA